AACAUUUUAACUGUAUUUUUGCUCUAAUAAAUACAGCCUUGGUGAGCAUAAGAAACUUCUUUCAUAAACCUUAACAUUUGGUCGUACUGACUCUAAACUGAGAGUGACUAUACUAGUGUUCACAGACUAACGGGGACAUGAACACGAGUCUGUUGCGCUGCUGAUUGUUGACCUCAUAUGUUGCAGGUUUCACCUGGUGUGUUUGAAUAUGUACCGAGUCCAGUAGAUGAAGAGGUGAAAGUGGGUGUGAUCAGAGAUACGCUGCGGCUCAUGGACCCCUCUCAGAGGACACAACACAUAAUGACAAGUACAGGGGGCGGUUCACCAGAAGAAGCUAUUGUUGUGGAGACAGGAAGUGAUGAGAAAGAAGGCUUGGCUGAUUCCCUUCCAUCUUUGUGUUUAAAGUAAGUCUUUCCAAAAUACACCAAGCAGUUCAAUUACUUGCAGGUCGUGGAACGCAUCGCUAUCAUUUUCCUGCUCUUCAUUGGUGUCAAGGGAACCAUGAGACUUGGUCUGACCAACUUCCGCACCUUCAUCAGGCAAGUCAUUAGUUCCUGUAGUUCAACUGAUAGAGCGUGGCGUCAGCCAAAGCCAAGAUCAUGCUCAAAUAAUGUACACCUGAAAGCAACAUCUGCAAAAUGAAGACAUUUAAAUGUGACAACCAUUUUGCUGCCUCAGAUUUCAUUUACAGACUGUAUAACAUUAUUGCUGGCUUUAAUGGGAUUCUGGCUACAUUCAUUAUGUACCGUGUUAAUUGAGCAUCUCCUUUAGGAACUGCAAGCUGAGUAACAGCAGCUUCUCGAUGGCUUCGGUGGACAUCCUGUACAUCGACAUCACGCGUCGUUGGGCCGGAAUGCUCCCUGACUCCAGAGAGGCAGGCAAGCGGCCCACCAAUCAUGAUGCAAUUUACAACACAUCUUCACUCCCGAGGCUGACACACAAUCAAAAAGCUGUUAAACAGUCUCCAAUAAAAGACACAUUUGCAACUAUUCAUCAUAGCGCAUUUGCCCUCGCACAGUCAUAAAUGAGAUCGUCAGGGGAGAUAAUUGACAAAUAAAUUCACUUCUUCAUUCAUUUGCCCAGUACUUGGAAAUCGCAAAAAAUAGAUGGCCAAUCAACUAAUGCCACAUAACCACAUUCUCAAGUUCUGCCUCGAUCUUUUAUAUUUAGAUUUUUUUUCUUUCACUUUGAAAAGAUACUUUGGUAAAUGGGAACAUUUGUGUGUGUGUCGGAGGAGCUAAUGUGCCCGCAAGUCAUUUCUGCUUUUAAAUGAGCACUGGUAAUAUUCUUUGUGAUGGUGCAUUAGGUUGGGUCAUGCUAGCAUCGUUUUCUUGGAGGAACGUAUGAAAUGAAUAAUGCAUGCCAGGCCUUGCUUCUCCUAAUCAAAAGAGAGAAUGAAUUAAUAUAUACUCGAGUCUCUGUGCUCCUAAAUGGCCAGAGUGGAAUGAUGUGAGCUGAAUUCUGGAACGUUUCGGAAGGUUGCACUGAAUUUGGUCAUUAGCGCCUUGCAGUAGGGAAUCAACACACACACACACAGAAGCCAGACUGUGUGGCGUGAGGAAAGUAAUAACUGCUGGAUAAGGUUGAUAUUUAUAAAUAAUAGAAGUGGCUAUUUAAAAGAAGUGGAUCGGACUUGUUUAUCCCUGAGGAGGAAGAGGAGCGAUAGCGCUGCCAUGAUCUUCAUUAAUAGUAAUACAUUUACUUUUGAGGAAUGCUGACUUGACACUCGGACUGAAUCUUAAUCCUCCUGUCCAUCCCAAAGUUCAGUCUACUUUAUUUGACAUCAUAAUGCUGAAUUGUUUUAGUGCUCCUCAUUAGUCUGUUUAAUGAAACCCAUUUUUUUUUCCUUCUGGAGUUGCUUAUUAAUUGUGGCCAUCCAUUCUCAAUGUACACAUAUUUCUGGCCAGCGCAGCAGGCCGCCUCAUUUUCUUUCGAGAUGCUUUUCACGGCUCCAUAUUGUCCACAGCAAGGGCUCAUUAACGCUCGGUAUAUGUAGCCAGACAAGUGAUCUGCGUCCACUUUCAGACUCCAACCCCCUGAGGCUCACAGGGACCCUUAAUAAAAGUACAAGUGCCUUCCCGUCGAAAUGUGCAGAGAGGAUUUCACCACGUUUAAAAUGUACAAAGUCUUUCUCUUUAGAAAGAAGCUGUCUGUAUUCCUCUCCCUCGGCUCACAGGCUCAGAAGUGACCUUGAGAAAUUGCUGAUGAUUUGAGCUUGCAGAUUAAGUUUUUAGCAGGAACAUAAAAAUACUGUAAUUAAGUUUUCAACAGUGUGGAGAUAUGACUGCACUAAAUAAUACACAGAUGAAGCCCUGUUAAUUAAUAAACAAGUAGAAAGGAAAUCUGCCAUAUGUACACUUCUGAUUAAAGCCGCUUACAGCUUGGAAAUAAUGUCAGGAAUAGCUUUUCAUCAAAUCUUUCAGCAAACUCUUUAUACAACAUGUUUGGUUUGUAUGGAACGACUAUUACUCAUACUGUAUGUUUAUAUGAAGUUAUGUGCCAAAGAUUAAUAAUUAGGUCCUUUCAAACUUUAUUUUAGGCACUAGAUGUAAAUUAAAUUUCAACAAUUUUAUUUUCUUUUUUUCUUUUGACCUCAUAAUUGUUAAUCAAAAUAUCAUAGCUCAAUCAUCCGGUGAAAUGACAGAUUUCAAUUCUUCUCGAACUAUUGUGUCUGCUUCAGCUCCUCCAUGCAAGCUCUCAUUCAUCUUAUCUUUGAGUGCAACACCCACAUCUCAAAAUCCAAUCAACAUCUGAUAAAUAAAUGGAAGUUCCUGCUCUGUUUUUGUUUUUGUUUUUGCUAAUCCAUUACACUUGAUUGUAUGUCAAAAUAUGAAUGAAAAAAUUUGUUGACACUUGCAUUUUAUCUCUGUGCAUGAAGAGUUUCUAUCUUGACUGGGGAAAUAAAAUCUGAUAACAGUGGCUUUAUAAAUUGUCCCGCUUUAAAACAAAACUUUUUUUAGACCAGUCCAGCUAAUGCUCAUUCAACUUUGACAGUAAACAAACACAAUUGUGUGUUUUAACUAAGAAAGCGAUUUGUUCUUUUUAAGCAUCAAGUAAAGCAAAGCUCUCUCUCUCUCUCUCUCUCUCUCUCUCUUUUUCACAAAUGUGUCUUCAGGCAUUUAUUGAGGCCUUCUUUUACUUGGCAGCACGCAGGUUCAAGGCUUUACCGCUGCGGGAGCAGGUGCUCUUGCUGCUGGAGGUUUGUGAGCGGGCCCUUGAGGGCCAGAGCCACAGCGAGAAGCCACGGCCACACCGAUCACACACAAAUCCCACCUCAUCUCAAUCAUCAGCACUAUGUUCAGCUCCCCUGCACUGACACGACGUCACAACGUCACUGCAGGGAGAAAUAUCACGGGAUUCAGUGUUUCUUAAAGGGACGAGAUGUUUAUCAUAACACCACUUCAGGAAAGGAGCUAAUUCUCUCAAAUGGCCACCUUACACUGACUAGGCAGAACAACACUGUGGCCUUUUGUUAGUAAAACUGUUAACACCAGGACAUGGCACCAAGUGCAUUCCAAGUUUACCAAGUUGUGUAUUAUUUAUACCUGCAGAUAUUUAUUAUUUACCGUUUCUCACUUAACCGAGUCAUUCAGUGUAGCUGUGAAUUGACCGAACUACUGCUGCAAGUAGAAAUUAUGACAGAAGGAGAAAAAAAGGGUUUGCUGUGGUUUAAUGCAAGUGGACAUCUCACAAGAAUAGCACAUAUUUACAGAUCAUUUAACCCUCACUUGAUAUCACAUUCCAGCUGCAGGCAUUGCAAUAUAUAAAAUAAGGCUUGAGACUGAGAUGUACUUUUUAUGGACAUGUUGAAUAAACAUUGCAAUUAAAAUAUUACAUUGUAUGUUUUUACUUUUUCAGUUAUAUAUGCACACACACACACACACACAAACACAAACACACAAACACACAUAACCAUUAAAAAGGUUGUUUUAAUGUCUCAAAUACUUGACCAAAAUGAGUAAAAACAGUAACAUUGUCAAAUAGUAUUACAAUUUGAAUGGUUUCCUAUUUUGAAAUAUUUUAAACUGUAAUUUUUUACAGUGACAGCAAAGCUGAAUUAAAAUCAUUCUAUUAUGUUGAUAUGGUGUUCAAUAAACAUUAUUAUUAACAAUGUUAAGUAUUGUGCUGCUUAUUUUUUAUAUUUCUAUGCAUAAAAUAAGAUUUGGGAUAGAACAUUUUGUGAUGAUCUUAACAGCACAAUUUUUGUAAUAGUUAUGGUUAUUUGUAAUGCCACCCAUAAGACAUUGUACAUUUGGUUCAGAAAUGAACCAUCAGUAGGUUGACCAUAUUUCCUAAAUCUUGACCUCUCACAUUACACUUGUCGAGUGAUUGAGGCAGUAAUGAAGACAACGAAACAGGCAUUUAAAAUAACUAAAUAAAACUUUAAUUAUUCUAGUUGCAAAUGUACAUAAAUUGCACAGCCACAAUUGUACGGUUCUUAACAUGGACAAGUUUUCUCUGUACAUUAUUGUUCUUGUCAUUGUCCUAAAACAAGGCAAGAGUCCAGCCAAUACUUUACUUUAAACAUACUUACAAAAUUAUUUUCUACAAGGGUUAUAAAACUUACAACAUAUUUUAGGCAUUCAUUUAUAUAUUUGUAUAUCUUUAUAUUAUUUAUUUCCCAUAGCUACUAUUUCACAUCGACUGCUUUGAGAAAAUAAAUGCCUAAUAGUCUGCAAAAGUUUCCUAAACUUUGAGAACUGAAAUGAAGCCAGAUAAAAACACAUCUGAUGAAAAUAACCGAGACGACAGCAAAAGUCUUUUUCAUUCAACACGGUUCUAAACUACUAUAUCUUUUCAGGUUUUUUUUUUCUUUUUACUCACUAGUAGCUUCUCAUGUGGAUGAAAAUAGACAUAAUGACUCUGCAAAACCUCAUUAAAAACAGAACAUGAACAAACAGAGAAGCUGACAUCCACGUCUGUAAGAGAAAUCUUGUGAAAAAUAAAUAUUUGCAACCUUAUGAGCCCCAAGCCGAGUUUAAAAGUUAAUCAAAUCAAAUUUGAAAUAAGUCUAGAUAUUAAUCUGCCUUAUGCAGACAGUGCUAAAGCAUUCAGUACAUGCAAAACUACUUUAGUAGAGCAUGUGAUUGGUUGCCAUAUACUGCUAAUCUCAUGAUUUUUAAUCUGCAUGUGCACCUUUGUUUAUAGUGUACGUAUGGCUACAGUGGCGCAAAUGAUAAUGCUACAAAAUAAAGCAUCCCUGGCUUAACAAUAAUAAUAAUGAGCACCUUGAGUUUGCUACAUGUUUGUAGAGUGAAGUAAACCCAAGUGGACAUGACAAAGGGGAAAAGUGCAUAGUUUUAAAAGCGUUUGAGAAGCUGGGGCAAGAGAUGUGAUGUGUGCUUAUUAGAUUGCUGCGUCUCAGUCUGAUCCAACAUAUCAGCCGUCAUUCACUUUGCAGUUCCUGUGAACCUUGCUUUGUCUAUAAUAUUAACUUAUUCUCAUAAUAAUCCAUCACAGAGCCCAUAUACAGAGAAGAUUCCCUUUAAAAAUAACAUCUCUUAUCUUACACAUCCCAUGUCUUAUAAUGUAUCUGUUUGCAUCAAAAUAAAGAUGUGCAAGCGUCUCACUUCCUCAAAGACCAAUGAAUUAAAGGAAAACAGCAGCUCCACGCACAUACAUUAUUAAAUACAAAAAUAUACAAACUCUAAACGCUGAAAUGUAAAGUAUGCAGCAAUCUGGACUGAUGAGGCAACACAUACAAAAAUAAACACAACACCUGUACAAAAAUGACUUAAAAAGGCUUUAAAAAUUAGAAUGGAGAAGAAAAACCCAUGAAGAAAACAUGCACAAAAAAGCAACUCUCUUAAACAAUGUAGGAAGAAAAAAUGAGCUACACAAGGCAGUUUUCAAAACGGCAAAAUAAAAAAUCAUUUCAGUCUGGUUUAGUGUCUAAAACAUUCUCUCUGCUCUGCCCGAGCAGUCUGUGCUAAUUCAAAAUCUUGGCAUCUCUGAAAAUAAAAAAUUAAAAAAAUCUAUGCACAUUAUAAUCUAUCAUAGAUAUUCAUCUGAACUGUAAAAAUAAAAUCAAAAUAAGGACUGAGGGGUAUUUUAGAUGCAACAUUUUAAGGCUUCUCAUGAUGGAGAGACAAAGUGCACUAUGUAGGGAGAAACAGAAACAGGAAGAGAGAUAUGGAGGAGAGCUCUUAUUUCUCCACAAAGAGUUGCUCGUUCUGUAGGUUCAGUCAUUCCAUAUUAAGUAGAGACCAUUAUAAAUUAAUGUGACAAAAUCUAGUUAUUUUACUUUUUUUUCAAAGGCUGUAUGGAGAACACAGAUUUU
This is a long non-coding RNA of Carassius auratus (goldfish), 6280 nucleotides long. RefSeq lists it as uncharacterized. The record is from RefSeq and is a predicted model, not a curated record. The transcript has 2 exons. NCBI's taxonomy places the organism in Eukaryota, Metazoa, Chordata, Actinopteri, Cypriniformes, Cyprinidae.